GAUGAACGCUGGCGGCGUGCCUAAUACAUGCAAGUCGAGCGAACGGACGAGAAGCUUGCUUUUCUGAUGUUAGCGGCGGACGGGUGAGUAACACGUGGAUAACCUACCUAUAAGACUGGGAUAACUUCGGGAAACCGGAGCUAAUACCGGAUAAUAUUUUGAACCGCAUGGUUCAAAAGUGAAAGACGGUCUUGCUGUCACUUAUAGAUGGAUCCGCGCUGCAUUAGCUAGUUGGUAAGGUAACGGCUUACCAAGGCAACGAUGCAUAGCCGACCUGAUAGGGUGAUCGGCCACAUUGGAACUGAGACACGGUCCAGACUACUACGGGAGGCAGCAGUAGGGAAUCGUCCGCAAUGGGCGAAAGCCUGACGGAGCAACGCCGCGUGAGUGAUGAAGGUCUUCGGAUCGUAAAACUCGGUUAUUAGGUAAGAACAUAUGUGUAAGUAACUGUGCACAUCGUGACGGUACCUAAUCAGAAAGCCACGGCUAACUACGUG
This 497-nucleotide ribosomal RNA is filed under the name uncultured bacterium. Its description in RNAcentral is "partial 16S ribosomal RNA". It matches the Rfam family "Bacterial small subunit ribosomal RNA", at positions 28 to 507 of the family's 1533-position model. The record is from RNAcentral.